CUUUUUCUGGACGUCUGUCCUUGAUGAUGUUUUUUUCCUAUAGACCUGGAAUCUUUGGAUACAGCUACAGGCUUGGAAAAGCUCAGCUUUAGGAGGAACGUUCACCAUACUUGGAAAUGCAAUGCAUUGGGGAGAGCAUUGGUUGAGUCACCGGGAAUUGGAGUUUGCAAAGCCAGUAGAUGUGCCAUCUACCAUCACGAGUCUCCACUGCCAAGGGAGGCAGGGAGCAUUUCCUGGUAGUUUUGGAUAAACAAAGCACUCAGUGUCUUCAGCAGUCCAGGUCACUGCACUACAGCAGUUCCUGAGAGUGGUUUCCAAGGCUGAUGAAGAGCAGGGAUAUUUUGGAAUCACUGAUUUGUCUGAAAGCAUUUUCAGUGCUUGGAAACCUAACUGCCCUCCUGUUGUACCAUGUACCUACCCACAGAAAUAACAUUUCCUUUCUGAGGUAAAACAGCCUGUCUCAAAUACCAAAUAGUGCCUGGACGUGCUGCUUUGAAAUUAGCUCUUUAAUCACUAUGCUGCUGUGCAGAGUCUGCCUUGGGCACAACUGAAAAUCCACUCCAAAAUAUUUGUCUGCUCACACAUUCUUAAUUACUGGACCUGUCAAAUUUCAGACUUACCAGGUUACCUCUUCAAUCUGUAGUCUCGAAAGAGUGGAUCUAUAGUAAACUGCAUCAAUUUAGUGCAUUUUAAACACAGCACAUUCUUCAGUUAAUAAUCUUUGCAAAAUAAAGAAGUGGAAUACGGGCAUAAUUGUUUUAUAUUAAUUAACAGACUAAACUAUUCUCUCAGAUGUCUGGAGGAGAUACGAGCAUUCCCUCCCUGUCUUGAAUUAUUAGUGUGAUAGAUUUGCAUUUCCAGGAGUCCUUUUAAUGACUUCCUUUCGUAGGAAAAAAAAA
This is a long non-coding RNA of Tympanuchus pallidicinctus (lesser prairie-chicken), 899 nucleotides long. RefSeq lists it as uncharacterized. The record is from RefSeq and is a predicted model, not a curated record. The transcript is spliced from 3 exons. Lineage: Eukaryota; Metazoa; Chordata; Aves; Galliformes; Phasianidae.